This 124-nucleotide small nucleolar RNA is filed under the name Nannospalax galili (Upper Galilee mountains blind mole rat). RNAcentral's name for it is "Small nucleolar RNA SNORA42/SNORA80 family (ENSNGAG00000005663.1)". It matches the Rfam family "Small nucleolar RNA SNORA42/SNORA80 family". Rfam says of the family: The members of this family belong to the H/ACA class of snoRNAs that guide the sites of modification of uridines to pseudouridines. Human ACA42 (SNORA42) was cloned from HeLa cells by immunoprecipitation with anti-GAR1 antibody. The record is from Rfam by way of RNAcentral. Lineage: Eukaryota; Metazoa; Chordata; Mammalia; Rodentia; Spalacidae.
ACCAGGGUUUAGAUUUAUGGCAGGCUUGUCACCCUGGGCCUCUCAUAGUGUCCUAUGCUAUGAGCGAACUGUGCCUCUGAACCAUUUUCUGUAGGAUGCUGGCACUGAAGCGGGUCACACAGUG